CGGGAUGGAACCCGAUCACAAGAAUGAUCACAGGAAUGAAGUCUUUGUAUAAUUCAGUACCAACAUCACGGAUCUGGGUGUGGACCUGUUUGCUGAUGAGGCUGAAGACCAACUUUAUGACUGUGUUAUCCAUUGGCCUUUACUCAGGGUGUGAUCACCCGCUGCUGGGACCAACAAAACUCACUCACGCGGACUCGCUUGAAGCAGAAUCGGGAGCAUGGCGUCAGCUCGUCCAAUGUCUUCGAUGAUGGAGCUC
Amblyraja radiata (thorny skate) is the source of this 256-nucleotide long non-coding RNA. RefSeq lists it as uncharacterized. The transcript is spliced from 3 exons. Lineage: Eukaryota; Metazoa; Chordata; Chondrichthyes; Rajiformes; Rajidae. The record is from RefSeq and is a predicted model, not a curated record.